RNAcentral lists this ribosomal RNA (496 nucleotides) under uncultured bacterium. RNAcentral's name for it is "partial 16S ribosomal RNA". It matches the Rfam family "Bacterial small subunit ribosomal RNA", at positions 28 to 506 of the family's 1533-position model. The record is from RNAcentral.
GAUGAACGCUGGCGGCGUGCCUAAUACAUGCAAGUCGAGCGAACGGACGAGAAGCUUGCUUCUCUGAUGUUAGCGGCGGACGGGUGAGUAACACGUGGAUAACCUACCUAUAAGACUGGGAUAACUUCGGGAAACCGGAGCUAAUACCGGAUAAUAUUUUGAACCGCAUGGUUCAAAAGUGAAAGACGGUCUUGCUGUCACUUAUAGAUGGAUCCGCGCUGCAUUAGCUAGUUGGUAAGGUAACGGCUUACCAAGGCAACGAUGCAUAGCCGACCUGAGAGGGUGAUCGGCCAACUGGGACCGGAGACACGUCCCAGACCCCUAGGGGGGGAAGCGGUAGGAAAUCUUCCGAAAGGGGGGAAGGCUGGACGGAGCAACGCGGCGUGAGGAAUGAGGGUCUGCGGUUCGAAAAACGUUGUUAUUGGGGAAGAACAUAUGUGUAAGUAACUGUGCAGUUCUGGACGGUACCAAAGAAGAAAGCCACGGCUAACUACGU